Molecule: ribosomal RNA, 251 nt
Filed under: uncultured bacterium
Lineage: Bacteria
Description: partial 16S ribosomal RNA
Rfam family: Bacterial small subunit ribosomal RNA
Source: RNAcentral
CGGGUGAUGAGUACAGUGGCGGACGGGUGAGUAACGCGUAGAUCAUCUACCUUUAAGUUGGGGACAACUCAGGGAAACCUGAGCUAAUACCGAAUGUGGCUGCAAAGCUAAAGGGGGCUUCGGCUCCCGCUUAGAGAUGAGUCUGCGUCCAAUUAGCUAGAUGGUGGGGUAACGGCUCACCAUGGCGAUGAUUGGUAGGCGGCUUUAACGAGUGGUCGCCCACACUGGGAUUGAGAUACGGCCCAGACUCC